GUAAUGGAGGUAGAGCACUGAAUGGGCUAGGGGGCAUAUCGCUUACCGAACCUUAUCAAACUCCGAAUGCCAUAUACAUUUAGUCCGGCAGUCAGACUACGAAUGAUAAGAUCCGUGGUCAAAAGGGAAACAGCCCAGAUCGUCAGCUAAGGUCCCAAAGUGUAAGUUAAGUGGAAAAGGAUGUGGGAUUUCUAAGACAACUAGGAUGUUGGCUUAGAAGCAGCCACUCAUUUAAAGAGUGCGUAAUAGCUCACUAGUCGAGAGAUCCUGCGCCGAAAAUGUCCGGGGCUAAAACUUACCACCGAAGCUACGGGCUUGCGUAAGCAAGCGGUAGGGGAGCGUCGUAAUCGGGCUGAAGUCGUACCGUAAGGAGCGGUGGACUGAUUACGAGUGAGAAUGUUGGCAUUAGUAGCGAGAUGUAGGUGAGAAUCCUACAGGCCGAAUAUCUAAGGUUUCCUCAGGAAGGCUCGUCCGCUGAGGGUUAGUCGGGACCUAAGCCGAGGCCGAAAGGCGUAGGCGAUGGACAACAGGUUGAUAUUCCUGUACCACUACCAUCGUUAUUAUCGAGGGUGUGACGGAGAAGGAUAGUGUGUGCUAGCGAUUGGAAAUGCUAGUCUAAGCGUUUAGGCAGUUACGGUAGGCAAAUCCGCUGUAACGUUAAUGCUGAGGCGUGAUGGGGAAGGCCCUUGAGGCUGAAGUACAUGAUUCCAUGCUUCCAAGAAAAGCAUCUAGAGAGAGAAGUAGUGCCCGUACCGCAAACCGACACAGGUAGAUGAGGAGAGAAUCCUAAGGCCGGCGGAAGAAUUGCAGUUAAGGAACUAGGCAAAUUGACCCCGUAAGUUAGCGAGAAGGGGUGCCUGCGAGAGCAGGCCGCAGAGAAUAGGCCCAAGCAACUGUUUAGCAAAAACACAGGUCUCUGCUAAAGCGCAAGCUGAUGUAUAGGGGCUGACGCCUGCCCGGUGCUGGAAGGUUAAGGGGAACACUUAGCGCAAGCGAAGGUGUGAACUUAAGCCCCAGUAAACGGCGGCCGUAACUAUAACGGUCCUAAGGUAGCGAAAUUCCUUGUCAGGUAAGUUCUGACCCGCACGAAUGGCGUAAUGACUUGGGCACUGUCUCAACUGCAAAUCCGGCGAAGUUGUAGUGCGAGUGAAGAUGCUCGCUACCCGCGAUUGGACGGAAAGACCCCGUAGAGCUUUACUGUAGCUUAGCAUUGAAUUCCGGUAUUGUCUGUACAGGAUAGGUGGGAGACUGGGAAACUAGGGCGUCAGCCUUAGUGGAGUCGUCCUUGGGAUACCACCCUGACAGUACUGGGGUUCUAACAGGACGCCAUGAAUCUGGUGACUGGACAUUGUUAGGUGGGCAGUUUGACUGGGGCGGUCGCCUCCUAAAAAGUAACGGAGGCGCCCAAAGGUUCCCUCAGAACGGUCGGAAAUCGUUCGUAGAGUGCAAAGGCAGAAGGGAGCCUGACUGCGAGACCUACAAGUCGAGCAGGGACGAAAGUCGGGCUUAGUGAUCCGGUGGUACCUCGUGGGAGGGCCAUCGCUCAACGGAUAAAAGCUACCUCGGGGAUAACAGGCUGAUCUCCCCCAAGAGUCCACAUCGACGGGGAGGUUUGGCAC
Molecule: ribosomal RNA, 1619 nt
Filed under: human gut metagenome
Description: bacterial LSU rRNA
Rfam family: Bacterial large subunit ribosomal RNA
Source: RNAcentral